This is a long non-coding RNA of Symphalangus syndactylus (siamang), 329 nucleotides long. RefSeq lists it as uncharacterized. The record is from RefSeq and is a predicted model, not a curated record. Lineage: Eukaryota; Metazoa; Chordata; Mammalia; Primates; Hylobatidae.
GUUGGAUUUGACCAACUCUGAACCCUCUAGCUCAUGAGUGUGGAAUCUUCCACUAUGAAGAAAUAGAGCACCCUGCUCCCCUCAGCCUUUCGAGGCAUUCACAGAAGGCACUCGGGAAUCUGACUUCGAAGGCCCCACCCACUGAGGAUUCCUGACACCGCCAAUGGCAGUCUCAUCUGGAAGAUGUGGGAAAGGGGGACCCUGCAGGGACUUCUCUCAUGAUUUCCUCAUUUUGGGAACAAUGAGUAACAGGCUACUGUACCUUUCACAUUGACAUUCAUGAUGGACUCUCUGUGAGUGACACCGAAGACGUCAAUGAUACAGGCGGU